GAUUUACUCCCGACGGCCAUCGAGUAUCGACAUAUAUCACACGGAAAUUUAAGGAAAGAGUCUGCAUAUCUGAGACUACAUGGAGACAUGUAGAUGUUGCAACUAAGGAUUUUUAUUAUCAAGAAUUUGUGAAAAAAUAUACGUGGGAGGAUGGGCACGUGGUAGAAUUUGCAGCAACUUGGAAUAUUUAUUGUGCCAAGUUGUACAAAGACCUAUUAUACUAUGUGAGAAAGGAUGUCACACGACCAGAUUAAGUAUCCGACGAGAUCUGGAGUGCAUGGACGACCACUUGGUCUAUAGAAAGAUGGCAGACAAAGGCUCUAAAAGCAAGAGCGAAUAGGAAUACAGAGCCAAGUGGCCCGAGUACCGGAUCUGCUCGGCAUACAUCAAGAUCUCGAUCUAUUGUUGAGCACACUAUGGAUCUGGAGCGUUCUUUAUAAAGACAACCUACUUGCCUGGAGAUCUUUCUCAAGACUCACCAGAGAAAGGAUGACACAUAUGUUGAUGCUUGAUCAAAGAACAUUGGGGUUUGAAUUAUUAACUUGCAAUUUAUAUUUAAUCUUUAAUAAUGAAUAAUUAACUUUAAUAAUUAUGUAUAAGAUAUAAAUUGUAAAUUUUUUCUACACUGGAGGAAAUGACAAACAUGGUUGCUCAGACAUCUCAACCACCAGUAGAGGGAGGGGAGUCACAAGAUCUAUCCACCCAGGAAAUAAAUGAAAUUUAUUAUGAUGUUGUGGGUGGAAGGACAAAGAACUCCUCCCUCUACGGCCUUGGC
Molecule: long non-coding RNA, 775 nt
Organism: Zingiber officinale
Lineage: Eukaryota; Viridiplantae; Streptophyta; Magnoliopsida; Zingiberales; Zingiberaceae
Exons: 3
Source: RefSeq, a predicted model, not a curated record